RNAcentral lists this ribosomal RNA (253 nucleotides) under uncultured bacterium. RNAcentral's name for it is "partial 16S ribosomal RNA". It matches the Rfam family "Bacterial small subunit ribosomal RNA", at positions 524 to 776 of the family's 1533-position model. The record is from RNAcentral.
UACAGAGGUCCCAAGCGUUGUUCGGAUUUACUGGGCGUAAAGGGCGCGUAGGCGGUUGGGCAAGUUUGAUGUGAAAUCUCCGGGCUUAACCCGGAAAUGGCAUUGAAUACUAUUCGGCUAGAGGUUUGGAGGGGGGACUGGAAUUCUUGGUGUAGCAGUGAAAUGCGUAGAUAUCAAGAGGAACACCAGUGGCGAAGGCGAGUCCCUGGACAACACCUGACACUGAGGCACGAAAGCUAGGGGAGCAAACAGG